GACGAACGCUGGCGGCGUGCUUAACACAUGCCAGUCGAACGGAAAGGCCCUGCUUUUGUGGGGUGCUCGAGUGGCGAACGGGUGAGUAACACGUGAGUAACCUGCCCUUGACUUUGGGAUAACUUCAGGAAACUGGGGCUAAUACCGGAUAGGAGCUCCUGCUGCAUGGUGGGGGUUGGAAAGUUUCGGCGGUUGGGGAUGGACUCGCGGCUUAUCAGCUUGUUGGUGGGGUAGUGGCUUACCAAGGCUUUGACGGGUAGCCGGCCUGAGAGGGUGACCGGCCACAUUGGGACUGAGAUACGGCCCAGACGCCUACGGGAGGCAGCAGUGGGGAAUAUUGCACAAUGGGCGGAAGCCUGAUGCAGCAACGCGGCGUGCGGGAUGACGGCCUUCGGGUUGUAAACAGCUUUAGCCUGUGACGAAGCGUGAGUGACGGUAAUGGGUAAAGAAGCACCGGCUAACUACGUG
RNAcentral lists this ribosomal RNA (468 nucleotides) under uncultured bacterium. RNAcentral describes it as "partial 16S ribosomal RNA". It matches the Rfam family "Bacterial small subunit ribosomal RNA", at positions 28 to 507 of the family's 1533-position model. The record is from RNAcentral.